UGUUUGUACAUCUUACUUAUGAACUCGGCCCAGUAGUUUCAGUGGAAAAUGUUAGUAAAAAUUUACAAAUUUUAUAAAAAUUGUUGAAAAUUGACUAUAAAGGACAAUAACUCCUUAGGGGUCAAUUGACCAUUUCGGUCAUGUUGACUUAUUUGUAAAUCUUACUUUGCUGAACAUUAUUGCUGUUUACAGUUUAUCUUUAUCUAUAAUAAUAUUCAAGGCAAUAACCAAAAACAGCAAAAUUUCCUUAAAAUUACCAAUGCAGGGG
Molecule: long non-coding RNA, 268 nt
Filed under: Mytilus galloprovincialis (Mediterranean mussel)
Lineage: Eukaryota; Metazoa; Mollusca; Bivalvia; Mytilida; Mytilidae
Source: RNAcentral